Molecule: long non-coding RNA, 782 nt
Organism: Pyrgilauda ruficollis (rufous-necked snowfinch)
Lineage: Eukaryota; Metazoa; Chordata; Aves; Passeriformes; Passeridae
Exons: 3
Source: RefSeq, a predicted model, not a curated record
UUCUGCCCCUCCCCCUCCUUAAAAACCACCCCCCCAAUUUGGUCCUCCCGCCCGCCAGGGAGCGCUGCUGCGCCUUCCCGCCCUGUUGAGGGCGAGGCGAGACCGGAAGUCGGCCAUGUUCGCCCUGGUGCACGACGGGAGCUGUAGUCACGCAAAUGACAAUCACUUCCGGCCACGUGCUUCUGAUGCAUGAUGGGAACUGUAGUUCAAAUUCAAAUGUAAAACCGGAAGUUGCUUGGCGGCCAUGUUGGCACCCGAUGCAUCCUGGGAGCUGUCGGUUUUUUUUAAAAAAGGGCGGAAGUUCGGCCAUGUUGGCGCCCGAUGCAUGCUGGGAGCUGUAGUUUGCCGUGACAAAGAACUCGGGCGGGGUCUCCGCCUCGUGCCCCGGGCGUUACUGGUCCGUACUGGAGGCAGCUGCUCGCCCCGCCCCCAUGACGUCACCCACACCGAGGCAUCAUGGGUAGGCGGCCGAAUUUACUGAGGGACGGUCACCCCCACGUCCGGGGGGCACCCAGGUGUCCAGGGAGGGUCCCCAGGUGUGCCAGGUGACCCCACAUGUCCAUUUGAAGGUCCCCAGGUGUCCCAGGUGUGUCCCAGGUGUGUCCCAGGUGUGUCCCCCGCUGUCCCGGCGGGUCCCCAGCUGUGCCAGGUGUCCCCAGGUGUUCACAGCAGGUCCUUCACGUGUCCAUUGCGGGGCUCCCAGCUGUCCCCAGGUGUGUCUCAGGUGUGUCCCCGCUGUCCCAGGUGUCCGUUGGGAGGUUCCCUGGUGUGUCCCAGGUGUC